AAUAAACAGCUGCGCCAUGAGCGCAUGAUACGCCCGACGUCUUGUGUGGAAGUACAAUGCAAUAAUCAUAAAUAGUUUCUGAGAAAGUUUUAAGCAAUAACCAUAUAUUGUUUUUAGACACGGCGGGACAUGUGAAACCCCCAACCCUGUAUUUUUUUUACAAAAAACUAAAUAUCACUACAAUAAAAUUUUGAAUCAAAACCAAAAAGUAUACAGAUCUUUAGAUUAAUAUAACAAAGAAGUGUGUAAAGUUUUAAGCAAUAAUAAUAAAUUAUUUUUGAGAUACGGCGCGACACAUAAAAAAACCC
RNAcentral lists this long non-coding RNA (308 nucleotides) under Mytilus galloprovincialis (Mediterranean mussel). Lineage: Eukaryota; Metazoa; Mollusca; Bivalvia; Mytilida; Mytilidae. The record is from RNAcentral.